GGUUAAGCGAAUAAGCGUACACGGUGGAUGCCUAGGCAGUCAGAGGCGAUGAAGGACGUGCUAAUCUGCGAUAAGCGCCGGUAAGGUGAUAUGAACCGUUAUAACCGGCGAUUUCCGAAUGGGGAAACCCAGUGCAAUUCGUUGCACUAUCAUUACCUGAAUACAUAGGGUAAUGAAGCGAACCGGGAGAACUGAAACAUCUAAGUACCCCGAGGAAAAGAAAUCAAACGAGAUUCCCCCAGUAGCGGCGAGCGAACGGGGAGCAGCCCAGGACCUUAAUCAGCAUCAGUGUUAAGAGAACAGUCUGGAAAGGCUGGCCACAGCAGGUGAUAGCCCUGUAUCUGAAAGCACUGGUGUUGUGAGUCCGAUGAGUAAGGCGGGACACGUGUUAUCCUGUCUGAAUACGGGGGGACCAUCCUCCAAGGCUAAAUACUCCUGACUGACCGAUAGUGAACCAGUACCGUGAGGGAAAGGCGAAAAGAACCCCGGCGAGGGGAGUGAAAAAGAACCUGAAACCGUGUACGUACAAGCAGUGGGAGCACCCUUCGGGGUGUGACUGCGUACCUUUUGUAUAAUGGGUCAGCGACUUAUAUUCUGUAGCAAGGUUAACCGAAUAGGGGAGCCGCAGGGAAACCGAGUCUUAACUGGGCGAAUUAGUUGCAGGGUAUAGACCCGAAACCCGGUGAUCUAGCCAUGGGCAGGUUGAAGGUUGGGUAACACUAACUGGAGGACCGAACCGACUAAUGUUGAAAAAUUAGCGGAUGACUUGUGGCUGGGGGUGAAAGGCCAAUCAAACCGGGAGAUAGCUGGUUCUCCCCGAAAGCUAUUUAGGUAGCGCCUCGUGAAUUCAUCUCCGGGGGUAGAGCACUGUUUCGGCUAGGGGGUCAUCCCGACUUACCAACCCGAUGCAAACUGCGAAUACCGGAGAAUGUUAUCACGGGAGACACACGGCGGGUGCUAACGUUCGUCGUGAAGAGGGAAACAACCCAGACCGCCGGCUAAGGUCCCAAAGUCAUAAUUAAGUGGGAAACGAAGUGGGAAGGCUCAGACAGCCAGGAUGUUGGCUUAGAAGCAGCCAUCAUUUAAAGAAAGCGUAAUAGCUCACUGGUCGAGUCGGCCUGCGCGGAAGAUGUAACGGGGCUAAAUUAUGCACCGAAGCCGCGGCAGCGAUAUGUAAAUAUUGUUGGGUAGGGGAGCGUUCUGUAAGCCUGUGAAGGUGGCCUGUGAGGGCUGCUGGAGGUAUCAGAAGUGCGAAUGCUGACAUAAGUAACGAUAAUGCGGGUGAAAAACCCGCACGCCGGAAGACCAAGGGUUCCUGUCCAACGUUAAUCGGGGCAGGGUGAGUCGACCCCUAAGGCGAGGCUGAAAAGCGUAGUCGAUGGGCAACGGGUUAAUAUUCCCGUACUGGUGGUAACUGCGAAGGGGGGACGGAGAAAGCUAAAUCAUCCGGGCGACGGUUGUCCCGGUUUAAGCGUGCAGGUGGACUGACCAGGCAAAUCCGGUCGGUUGUUAACACUGAGGCGUGACGACGAGCCACUACGGUGGUGAAGUGAUUGAUGCUCUGCUUCCGGGAAAAGCCUCUAAGCUCCAGGUUACCAUUAAUCGUACCCCAAACCGACACAGGUGGUCAGGUAGAGAAUACUCAGGCGCUUGAGAGAACUCGGGUGAAGGAACUAGGCAAAAUGGUGCCGUAACUUCGGGAGAAGGCACGCUGGCA
This 1717-nucleotide ribosomal RNA is filed under the name Morganella morganii subsp. morganii. RNAcentral describes it as "partial 23S ribosomal RNA". It matches the Rfam family "Bacterial large subunit ribosomal RNA", at positions 1 to 1756 of the family's 2925-position model. The record is from RNAcentral. Lineage: Bacteria; Pseudomonadati; Pseudomonadota; Gammaproteobacteria; Enterobacterales; Morganellaceae.